Molecule: ribosomal RNA, 446 nt
Filed under: uncultured bacterium
Lineage: Bacteria
Description: partial 16S ribosomal RNA
Rfam family: Bacterial small subunit ribosomal RNA
Source: RNAcentral
CCUACGGGAGGCAGCAGUCGAGAAUCAUUCACAAUGGGGGAAACCCUGAUGGUGCGACGCCGCGUGGGGGAAUGAAGUUCUUCGGAUUGUAAACCCCUGUCAUGUGGGAGCAAAUUAAAAAGAUAGUACCACAAUAGGAAGAGACUGCUAACUCUGUGCCAGCAGCCGCGGUAAUACAGAGGUCUCAAGCGUUGUUCGGAAUCACUGGGCGUAAGGCGUGCGUAGGCUGUUUCGUAAGUCGUGUGUGAAAGGCGCGGGCUCAACCCGCGGACGGCACAUGAUACUGCGAGACUAGAGUAAUGGAGGGGGAACCGGAAUUCUCGGUGUAGCAGUGAAAUGCGUAGAUAUCGAGAGGAACACUCGUGGCGAAGGCGGGUUCCUGGACAGUAACUGACGCUGAGGCACGAAGGCCAGGGGAGCGAAAGGGAUUAGAUACCCUAGUAGUC